GACGAACGCUGGCGGCGUGCUUAACACAUGCAAGUCGAACGGAAAGGCCCCUUUGGGGGUACUCGAGUGGCGAACGGGUGAGUAACACGUGAGUAACCUGCCCUUGACUUCGGGAUAACUUCCUGAAACUGGGGCUAAUACCGGAUAGGAAUCCUUGCUGCAUGGUGGGGGUUGGAAAGCUUCGGCGGUUUUGGAUGGACUCGCGGCUUAUCAGGUUGUUGGUUGGGUAGUGGCUUACCAAGGCUUUGACGGGUAGCCGGCCUGGGAGGGCGACCGGCCACAUUGGGACUGGGAUACGGCCCAGACUCCUACGGGGGGCAGCAGGGGGGAAAAUUGCACAAUGGGCGGGAGCCUGAUGCAGCAACGCCGCGGGCGGGAUGACGGGCUUCGGGUUGUAAAACGCCUUCAGCAGGGGAGAAGCUUGUGGUGACGGUACCUGCAGAAGAAGCACCGGCUAACUACGUG
This 465-nucleotide ribosomal RNA is filed under the name uncultured bacterium. Its description in RNAcentral is "partial 16S ribosomal RNA". It matches the Rfam family "Bacterial small subunit ribosomal RNA", at positions 28 to 507 of the family's 1533-position model. The record is from RNAcentral.